UUUUUGCGUUAACGAUAGGAACGACAGCUUUUUUAACCGCUUUUUUGCGGUAAAAAACUACAGUGUAUAGCGUGUUAAAAC
This 81-nucleotide small RNA is filed under the name Pedobacter psychrophilus. Its description in RNAcentral is "Pedobacter sp. CCM 8644 Flavo-1 RNA". It matches the Rfam family "Flavo-1 RNA". The record is from Rfam by way of RNAcentral. Lineage: Bacteria; Pseudomonadati; Bacteroidota; Sphingobacteriia; Sphingobacteriales; Sphingobacteriaceae.